AUUGAACGCUGGCGGCAUGCUUUACACAUGCAAGUCGAACGGCAGCGCGGGCUUCGGCCUGGCGGCGAGUGGCGAACGGGUGAGUAAUGCAUCGGAACGUGCCCAGUAGUGGGGGAUAGCCCGGCGAAAGCCGGAUUAAUACCGCAUAAGACCUGAGGGUGAAAGCGGGGGACCGAAAGGCCUCGCGCUAUUGGAGCGGCCGAUGUCGGAUUAGCUAGUUGGUGGGGUAAAGGCUUACCAAGGCGACGAUCCGUAGCUGGUCUGAGAGGACGACCAGCCACACUGGGACUGAGACACGGCCCAGACUCCUACGGGAGGCAGCAGUGGGGAAUUUUGGACAAUGGGGGCAACCCUGAUCCAGCCAUGCCGCGUGCGGGAAGAAGGCCUUCGGGUUGUAAACCGCUUUUGUUCGGGAAGAAAUCCUCUGGGCUAAUACCCCGGGGGGAUGACGGUACCGGAAGAAUAAGCACCGGCUAACUACGUG
Molecule: ribosomal RNA, 484 nt
Filed under: uncultured bacterium
Lineage: Bacteria
Description: partial 16S ribosomal RNA
Rfam family: Bacterial small subunit ribosomal RNA
Source: RNAcentral